Molecule: ribosomal RNA, 465 nt
Filed under: uncultured bacterium
Lineage: Bacteria
Description: partial 16S ribosomal RNA
Rfam family: Bacterial small subunit ribosomal RNA
Source: RNAcentral
CCUACGGGUGGCAGCAGUGGGGAAUAUUGCGCAAUGGGCGAAAGCCUGACGCAGCGACGCCGCGUGAGGGAUGAAGGUCUUCGGAGCGUAAACCUCUGUCAGCAGGGAAGAACGGUCACUGUGCUAAUCAGCAGUGAAUUGACGGUACCUGCAAAGGAAGCACCGGCUAACUCCGUGCCAGCAGCCGCGGUAAUACGGAGGGUGCGAGCGUUAAUCGGAUUUACUGGGCGUAAAGCGCUCGUAGGCGGUAUGUCAAGUCAAGGGUGAAAUCCCCGCGCUCAACGUGGGAACUGCCUUUGAGACUGGCAGACUGGAGUGUAGGAGAGGAUAGUGGAAUUCGAGGUGUAGGGGUGAAAUCCGUAGAUAUCUGGAGGAACAUCAGUGGCGAAGGCGACUAUCUGGCACAUAACUGACGCUGAGGAGCGAAAGCGUGGGUAGCAAACAGGAUUAGAUACCCUAGUAGUC